The sequence is a ribosomal RNA, 434 nucleotides long. It matches the Rfam family "Bacterial small subunit ribosomal RNA", at positions 341 to 792 of the family's 1533-position model.
ACGGGAGGCAGCAGUGGGGAAUAUUGGGCAAUGGGCGAAAGCCUGACCUAGCAACGCCGCGUGAAGGAAGAAGGUCUUCGGAUUGUAAACUUCUUUUAUGAGGGACGAUAAUGACGGUACCUCAUGAAUAAGCCACGGCUAACUAUGUGCCAGCAGCCGCGGUAAUACGUAGGUGGCAAGCGUUAUCCGGAUUUACUGGGUGUAAAGGGCGCGUAGGCGGGAAAGCAAGUCAGAUGUGAAAUCCAUGGGCUCAACACAUGAACUGCAUUUGAAACUGUUUUUCUUGAGUGUCGGAGAGGUAGAUGGAAUUCCUAGUGUAGCGGUGAAAUGCGUAGAUAUUAGGAAGAACACCAGUGGCGAAGGCGAUCUACUGGACGAUAACUGACGCUGAGGCGCGAAAGCGUGGGGAGCAAACAGGAUUAGAUACCCUGGUA